GUGUGUGUGUGUGUGUGUGUGUGUGUGUGUGUGUGUGUGUGUGUGUGUGUGUGUGUGUGUGUGUGUGUGUGUGUGUGUGUGUGUGUGUGUGUGUGUUAGGAUGCGUUCAGGCGUUAUUCGAUUGCCUGGUAACCAUGGUUACUAAUAUUCACACUGGUUUCAAUAAUACAUUUGAUAGUAUUUCCCAUCUUUGCUGAGCAACAGUUUUGUUCUAAAGUUCAGUGAUUGAAACAGAUAAAAGCCCGGGCUAUGGAAGUGUUCCGGUACCACUGUCAUGCACCUGCCCGAUGUCAAGUGGACCGGGUGGAAUUCACUGCGGGUCUCUCCUCUUAUAUCCAUCUCACCAAAGAUAUUUUAUUACUGUCCUUCUCAACACUCUCUCACUAAAAGGCUGGCAGCACAACACAGCAAUAAUGACGAGAUGCGCUGUGCGUAGAGAAGAAAGAAUACCGACGUCGAAUUUGCAACAUUUGGCAAAAAAUGAUUCUAAAUCUGCCCAUGUAUGGACACGCCAGAAUGUUGUGGUUUCCACUCGCUACAAUGUUGCAUCUGUGGCUGCUGGUAAUUUAACCACAAAGAAGUAUACUCUACGGGGCUAUUUUCAGCAUUAUUAUUAUUAUUUUUAUUUUUUUGACGGCACAGCGAUCUGGGGCUAUUCCCAAAAGAUCCGGGGCUAUAGCCUCGUAUGCUCGAAUGCUGUAGCCUCGAAUGGGUUCUUCAAUCUGAUUGGUAGUCACACUGGUAAUUAGUUUCCCCCCUCCUUUUCGGGGAUAAUGUUCCCCGUUUUGAUCUCGGACGUCUGGUCACUUCAUAUCACAGAUCUGAAUAUUAUAUUACUGUAAACUCUAAAACAAGCCGAAACAUGUGUCCUGUAUCAUGACUAUAUGUAUGACCGGUGAAAGAAAGAAACCGUGUGAACAUCAGUUUGGUAUUCAGUGAGGUGGGAUUAACUGAAUGUGUGAACAUCAGGUUGGUAUUCAGUGAGGUGGGAUUAACUGAAUGUGUGAACAUCAGGUUGGUAUUCAGUGAGGUGGGAUUAACUGAAUGUGUGAACAUCAGGUUGGUAUUCAGUGAGGUGGGAUUAACUGAAUGUGUGAACAUCAGGUUGGUAUUCAGUGAGGUGGGAUUAACUGAAUGUGUGAACAUCAGGUUGGUAUUCAGUGAGGUGGGAUUAACUGAAUGCGCUGACAGUUCAUUACUGACAGACAGAUGACACUGAGUGGAGCGGUCGACCCACCUUCACACCUUCUGGUCCUCCUGCACCCAGGAGGACCCCCUCCCUGGGGUCUGGUUAGGGGGGGUUAGGGGGGUUCGGGGGGGCGGCUCAUUGGGGGACGCAGCGUCUAGGUUAGUGUUAGCAGGGUGGGGGCCCUCAGCGUCUGUUAGUUAUAAGUUAUAGUCUCUCGCUCUCUCUCUCGCUCUCGCUCUCGCGCUCUGUCUCUGUCUCUCUCUCUCUCUCUCUCUCUCUCUCACUCCCACUCAGUGUUGUGAAGGAUACUUUUAAAAUGUAUCCAGUUACAGAAUACAUGCCCAAAAAUGUAAAAAAAUUCUGUUUCAUCACUCAAUUUGAGUAUUGUAUUCUGAAUACUUGGAUUCCUUCCACAUUGAAUUGCAUUUUAGAAUUGUAGGCAGUGGCGAAGUUAGACCUCUUUGGGGUGGUCUCUCUCUCUCUCUCUCUCUCUCUCUCUCUCUCUCUCUCUCUCUCUCUCUCUCUCUCUCUCUCUCUCUGUGUCUGAUGACACACGUGAACACAAACAUGCAUAUGUGAACACACACAUGCACGGACUACACACACAUGUUUGUAUAAACAAACACACACACACUGGGUUUUGGUGAUUUAUAUUCAUGUACUCAACUAUAAUCCAAAUGCUACAUUUUCUUGAUCUUCUUAAAGUUGAUCUUGAUUAACCAUGGAAGGAAGAGUCUUUUAAGAUCUUCCAUCAGGUUAACUUAAUAGGUUUUACAAAGAUUAUAUUUCUAAUGUCAGAUGUAUUUUAAUUAUUGAUUGAUGGUAAAUUUUAACAGUUUUAUAGUACAAUAUUGUGUCUAUCUUCAGACGUUAACAGUUUCAUACUGCUGGGCUCUGAUAUCAGUUUAUAUUUUGAUAAGCCUCACAUGAUGUAAAGCAGAUUUUAUAUUAUAUUCAUAAUGCAAGCGGUCUAUGGGGAAAGCUAUAGAUCAUGUUGUGAUGACUUUAAACUGAUUGAUUCCUUGUGUUCUGUGGG
This is a long non-coding RNA of Gadus morhua (Atlantic cod), 2225 nucleotides long. RefSeq lists it as uncharacterized. NCBI's taxonomy places the organism in Eukaryota, Metazoa, Chordata, Actinopteri, Gadiformes, Gadidae. The record is from RefSeq and is a predicted model, not a curated record. The transcript is spliced from 2 exons.